Molecule: long non-coding RNA, 393 nt
Organism: Nicotiana attenuata
Lineage: Eukaryota; Viridiplantae; Streptophyta; Magnoliopsida; Solanales; Solanaceae
Exons: 2
Source: RefSeq, a predicted model, not a curated record
CUUUGUUUCUCGCAGAUAAACUCAAACGUAACUCUAGAAGCAUCUUCUUUCAUCUCUCCGACAUGCUUCAUCAACUUUUCAUACUACUCUUUCCUUCCGACUGAAAGAGUCUCCUUUAUCUUCUGAGUUGGUUGUCGCCAUUUUAGUGCAGCUCCUGUAAAUAGUAUAGUUUGGCCAAGGCAGAAGAGUAUCUAAAGUGAUUAAAGACCCCAAUCGGUUACAUAUUAGUGCUUCUCCAAUUUUGAGGCUUAGUUUGACUUUCUUUUGAAGCAUGGCAUGGCAUGGCAGAAUUCUUUCAUGGAAAUAUUUGACCUUUUAUUAAAUAAUGGAUCUUGAUACUUUUUUUAUGUAGAUUAAAUUUACACUUAGAUAUACAAAUUUAUAUCUUAGUCG